ACAUUAUCAAUACUCUCUGUUGACUCAGACUCAUCCAUCCAGAGGACUCGAACAUGGUCAGCAGUAAGAGGACCACUCUUAUUGUUACUAUUGUUCCCAUCAGCAGUUUCCUCAGCAUUUUCAUUGUUAUCCCUAUUGCCUUCUGAGUUGGAAUCACCAUUGUCACCACCACCACCGUCUUCUUCUUCUUCUUCUUCUUCUUCUUCUUCUUCUUCUUCUUCUUCUUCUUCUUCUUCG
This 237-nucleotide long non-coding RNA is filed under the name Nicotiana benthamiana. RNAcentral describes it as "long non-coding RNA (NBEN_LNC001139)". The record is from RNAcentral. Lineage: Eukaryota; Viridiplantae; Streptophyta; Magnoliopsida; Solanales; Solanaceae.